Molecule: long non-coding RNA, 494 nt
Organism: Hevea brasiliensis (rubber tree)
Lineage: Eukaryota; Viridiplantae; Streptophyta; Magnoliopsida; Malpighiales; Euphorbiaceae
Exons: 2
Source: RefSeq, a predicted model, not a curated record
GGACUUGAUGGGAUAUCUGCUUUAGAGGCUUUCAAGUUGUGAAAUUGGCUACAAACAUAAGCUUUAUGAAGUAAUCCCUUAAAUAAACUGUGCCUACGUGUAAGUCUACUGCUUGCGGUGCAUACAAGACUAGUACAACUAUUAGGAGGCCGGGGCAGAGGAAGAUAGAGCAAGGCGCCGGAAGCCCUUCUAACCCUCUCAAAUUUACAACUGCAUUUAUAUAGUAGAAAAUCAAUAGUUUUUUUUUUUUAUAGAUUUCUUGGCCUCUCAAAAUAAAAUUAUAAAAUUGAAAUAUUAAUGUAACACAUAUUACACAUUAUUAUUUAAGUAUAUUCAACUCAACUAAGCUUUAUUUCAAAAAUUUGGAGUCAGCUAUAUGAAUUCUCUUUUUCCACUCUAACCAAUUUUGAGUUAAAAUCUCGGAAAUGUGUAAUGUUUGUAGGUCAUGUUGUACUACUCCUCUUUAAGUCAAUUUAGGUCUGCCUUUUUCUUUU